UACGUAGGCAGCAAGCGUUGUUCGGAUUUACUGGGCGUAAAGGGUGUGUAGGCGGUUGUUUAAGUUUGGUGUGAAAUCUCCCGGCUCAACUGGGAGGGUGCGCCGAAUACUGAAUGACUAGAGUGCGGGAGAGGAAAGUGGAAUUCCAGGUGUAGCGGUGAAAUGCGUAGAUAUCAGGAGGAACACCGGUGGUGUAAACGGCUUUCUGGACCAUAACUGACGCUGAGGCACGAAAGCGUGGGUAGCAAACAGG
RNAcentral lists this ribosomal RNA (253 nucleotides) under uncultured bacterium. RNAcentral describes it as "partial 16S ribosomal RNA". It matches the Rfam family "Bacterial small subunit ribosomal RNA", at positions 524 to 776 of the family's 1533-position model. The record is from RNAcentral.